AAUUGUUCGCAAUGGGCGCAAGCCUGACGACGCAACGCCGCGUGGAGGAUGAAGGCCUUCGGGUCGUAAACUCCUGUUGAUCGGGAAGAACGGGCUCCGGGUGAAUAUCCCGGAGCAGUGACGGUACCGAUUGAGGAAGCCACGGCUAACUCUGUGCCAGCAGCCGCGGUAAUACGUAGGCAGCGAGCGUUGUUCGGAGUUACUGGGCGUAAAGAGUGCGUAGGCGGUGCGGCAAGUCUGGUGUGAAAUCUCCCGGCUUAACUGGGAGGGUGCGCUAGAAACUGCCGUGCUAGAGUGUGGGAGAGGUAAGCGGAAUUCCUGGUGUAGCGGUGAAAUGCGUAGAUAUCAGGAGGAACACCUGCGGUGUAGACAGCUUACUGGACCAUAACUGACGCUGAGGCACGAAAGCGUGGGUAGCAAAC
RNAcentral lists this ribosomal RNA (422 nucleotides) under uncultured bacterium. Its description in RNAcentral is "bacterial SSU rRNA". It matches the Rfam family "Bacterial small subunit ribosomal RNA", at positions 360 to 773 of the family's 1533-position model. The record is from RNAcentral.